GCUUACACAUGCAAGUCGAACGAUGAACUCGCAAGCUUGCUCCAGGGAUUAGUGGCGAACGGGUGAGUAACACGUGAGUAACCUGCCCUUGACUCUGGGAUAAGCGCUAGAAAUGGCGUCUAAUACCGGAUACGAGCUUCAGCCGCAUGGCUAGGAGUUGGAAAGAAUUUUGGUCAAGGAUGGACUCGCGGCCUAUCAGCUAGUUGGUGAGGUAAUGGCUCACCAAGGCGACGACGGGUAGCCGGCCUGAGAGGGUGACCGGCCACACUGGGACUGAGACACGGCCCAGACUCCUACGGGAGGCAGCAGUGGGGAAUAUUGCACAAUGGGCGAAAGCCUGAUGCAGCAACGCCGCGUGAGGGAUGACGGCCUUCGGGUUGUAAACCUCUUUUAGUAGGGAAGAAGCGAAAGUGACGGUACCUGCAGAAAAAGCACCGGCUAACUACGUGCCAGCAGCCGCGGUAAUACGUAGGGUGCAAGCGUUGUCCGGAAUUAUUGGGCGUAAAGAGCUCGUAGGCGGUUUGUCGCGUCUGCUGUGAAAUCUGGGGGCUCAACCCCCAGCCUGCAGUGGGUACGGGCAGACUAGAGUGCGGUAGGGGAGAUUGGAAUUCCUGGUGUAGCGGUGGAAUGCGCAGAUAUCAGGAGGAACACCGAUGGCGAAGGCAGAUCUCUGGGCCGUAACUGACGCUGAGGAGCGAAAGCAUGGGGAGCGAACAGGAUUAGAUACCCUGGUAGUCCAUGCCGUAAACGUUGGGAACUAGAUGUGGGGGCCAUUCCACGGUCUCCGUGUCGCAGCUAACGCAUUAAGUUCCCCGCCUGGGGAGUACGGCCGCAAGGCUAAAACUCAAAGGAAUUGACGGGGGCCCGCACAAGCGGCGGAGCAUGCGGAUUAAUUCGAUGCAACGCGAAGAACCUUACCAAGGCUUGACAUAUACCGGAAACGUCCAGAGAUGGUCGCCCCGCAAGGUCGGUAUACAGGUGGUGCAUGGGUUGUCGUCAGCUCGUGUCGUGAGAUGUUGGGUUAAGUCCCGCA
This 1033-nucleotide ribosomal RNA is filed under the name Frigoribacterium faeni. RNAcentral's name for it is "bacterial SSU rRNA". It matches the Rfam family "Bacterial small subunit ribosomal RNA", at positions 46 to 1091 of the family's 1533-position model. The record is from RNAcentral. Lineage: Bacteria; Bacillati; Actinomycetota; Actinomycetes; Micrococcales; Microbacteriaceae.